UAAAGUUUAUAAUCAACCAGCAUUAUUUUUCAGUAUUUUCUGUGGUUUUCUAAUAACCUUUCAUUUUUUGUUUUUGUGUCAUUUGAUUUUCAUCUUCCAGUUACUAUAGAGGAGGGAGGAAUUCAGAUUUAUGAAAAUUAUGCAAUACCAAGUUUUGCCUAUGUAGGUAGUGCUUAUAGAUUUGUCAAUUAUUAGAGGCUAGUUUGGAGAUAGACACUAUUGUAAUGCAUUUAUUUUGUUGAUAUCGUUGUUGUUAUUGUUGUUGUUAUUGUUGUUGUUGAUGUUGUUGUUGUUUUAAUUUUUUAAUUGACCAAAGUGGGGACUGCUUUCUAUGCAGUGUAUGACAAGGUCUUUUUUUUAGUGUACUGUACUAAGAGAUUGAGAGACAUGUUUCAGUGUGUUUUUAAUUCUUGGUGUGGUAGACAGGGGGUCUUUUAUUUCCGAUACCUACAGUAUGUAAAGAAUGCACCCGUUGGUCUCAUAUGGCUGCAAAGUCACUGAUCUGUCUACUGUGACAAACUUGCCUUUUUCCUUUCAACUUUCCACCUGGGGUGCUAGCGUGUGACAGCAACCGAGCUCAUUUUCACAGGAGAGGCGGCUUGACUUGAGUGUGACAAUCAUUUAAAUCUAAUUUCGGAAGAGGAGCAUGCUAACGUUAAUCAGACGCGCAGUUGCAAACCGACAUCCUGCCAUCAUGGGGAAAGCCGGCCCUUUGUCCGUGCUACUUCUCCAUGCAGGAAGCUAUGUAGGAAUGAACUCGUGAGAUUAGCUGUAUGUAAUUCCCAAGUAGAUGCCUUAAAAAUAUACAUGAAGUGACCUGUUACACAAGCUCUACAAUCAAUAGGCCAUCAAAUGUGAGAAUGGUCAAAUCAGUCUUAAGGAAGUCUUUGUAAGAAUCCAAUGUUAAGUGCACUAAAUCUGUAUAAACUCCAGAGAUUGACCUACCUGUUUUGGGGUGUUAUUUUGGCACUAAAAGGAACCAUGUAUUUUAUCAUGGAAUAAGCUAUGCACUACAGUGGAAGGAUAUCAGCUGUUUUCCUUGUAUUCUGUAGGACCAGGAGAAAUUCAACGAAAAAAAGAGCACUUGCAUAGCACAUAGGCAGUUUCCCUCCUCGUGUGUUUUUUCUUUCUUCUUCAAAUCUAUAACAAACAAAAAUGCUACAAUAUUACAUUAAAACAAUUUGAUUUCUCAGGCGUUACGCAGGGCAUUACAAAUUCCAGUCAUAACCCUCCCACUUAAUAAUAAUAUAGUAAUAUGUAUCACUACUUUUGUAUCGCUAAUAGAUACUAACCACAAUUUUGUUUUGACACCUUUUGCACUCUAUCCCAACAAUUGUGAAUGUUCUUCCCUGCUUAAUUAGAAGAAAAGGUACUGUGCUGUUUACACGACAGUCUUUGGAAAGCCACGUAUGAAACUCAAGUCAAGCUUAUUCUCUCCUCCUUCACCCAAAAUUCAGAUUCCGAUUUUUUUUGCAGAAAAAAAAAAAAGAACGUAACGAAAACAAAAGCCACCCUGUUCUAUGUGCACUGUCUGCCUUUUUUUUUUUUUUUGUGUAAAAACAUAAGUGCUUUGCAGCCUCUGGCCAUUGGAGACCCCACUGAAAUGCAUUUUCCCAGAGUCAGGGUUGAUGGUGUUGAUAUUUUGGGCAGAAGGCUGGUUGUAUAUAAGGGUGAAUACCAUGGUGGCGUCGAUAGCAGUAGUCCUUUUGGGGGGUAAAAUCUGCUUUUGGCAGCUUUCGAGUAAUUUGUGCUUGUGUGUGCGUGCGCGUGUGUGCUAGAAUGUAUGAGAGGUAGAGAUGACACCACACAACGAGUGAGAGGAUGAGGAUCUUUCUGUUGAGAAGCCUGCCUCAUAGACAAGAGUUUGUACACUGUAAUCUUUUUCAAGAUUUUUCUCCGACACCCUUUAAUUGUUUUCUAACAUUUGGGGUUUUUAUGACCCAAUUCCAUUUUAUGAAAUAAGUCAAUUAGAAAGCGAUGCAUUGGCGACGUAGGCUGGACUAGAGGUACAACUCUCCAGCUUUCCCCAAACAUCAAGAAAUUACAUGAAAGCAUUUUAUAAAUGUUCCUUUAUUUAGGGUAAGUAUCCCUGUAAAGAACCCAGACAUUUAAAGAGUUUAGAAUAUGAAGGUUUAUUUUUAUUUUCUGUGUUUAGUGCUUAAAAACGUAACAUUUUGGAAACAUUUCUGUAAUAUUUGAAAUUUUAGUUUUUGCUAGCGUGGCCAUAGUAAGGUGUAUGCUGUGAUUAUAUGUGGUUGUGAAUCCAUGUCAGAGAGAGAAAGAGACAGUGGG
This is a long non-coding RNA of Esox lucius (northern pike), 2292 nucleotides long. NCBI's taxonomy places the organism in Eukaryota, Metazoa, Chordata, Actinopteri, Esociformes, Esocidae. The record is from Ensembl.